Molecule: long non-coding RNA, 619 nt
Filed under: Panax ginseng (ginseng)
Lineage: Eukaryota; Viridiplantae; Streptophyta; Magnoliopsida; Apiales; Araliaceae
Description: long non-coding RNA (PGIN_LNC000774)
Source: RNAcentral
UCUACAAUAUAAUCCAAGUUCCAAGCCAAGAACAUGAAAUAGACAUGAAACCCCAAACAAUGUCCGGAUUACUUUUCCUUGCGAUUUCAUACUAAUUCUUUGCAAUCACAGCUCCCAAGCAUAUAAUCUACAAAACAAACACAAAAUGCAUGAAAAGCAACUAAGAAAUAUGAGAUUAAGCAACUAAUUCAAGUAACAAAUAUCGGAUAAGUAGGUAUAAAAUCUACUUAUCAAAUACCCCCAAACUUAAACCUUUGUUUGUCCUCAAGCAAAAACACAAAACAACAAUGCUAUGUAAUGCAACUAAUCUACAUGCCUAUGAACCCAGCAGUAAUGACAGAAACAAGUCUAUUCAAUCGGCCUUAGAGAAAUCAAGUAAACAUGAUAAUACAUCAUAUCAAAACUCAUCAGUAACUUCCCAAUCAAUCAUCAAAUAUUAGAUUGUUAUCACUAAUAUAGUGCGUGUGUGCUCCACAACAAUGUUAACUGAUAUAAAAUCAAAUUUAACUCAUAACAAGUCUCUUCGAAGGCAUCAUCUAGUGUAAACUCAAGAAAUCCAAAAACAAGCUAGAUCCAACUAAAAUUAAAUAAUUACCAAUAUCGAGGGUCAACAUGGGAU